Molecule: unclassified non-coding RNA, 2497 nt
Filed under: Limulus polyphemus (Atlantic horseshoe crab)
Lineage: Eukaryota; Metazoa; Arthropoda; Merostomata; Xiphosura; Limulidae
Description: zinc finger protein DZIP1L-like, transcript variant X4
Source: RNAcentral
AAGCUAAAUCCAUUUAUAAAAUUGAAAUUGCGAUCAAAUUUAAACUUGAUAUUUUAACUGAUUUAAGGUUCUGAUGGAUGAAAUUAAUACUGCAAGUUAAUGUUUUAUGAAAGAGUGUAAACACCACAAAUGGAUUUCAUCAGGGAUGAUCUUUCAUCCAGAUAUUUUGGAGUUUCAGGAUCUACAAAACCACAACUAUCUUUCCAGAAAAGAUGUGGAUAUGUUGACUGGAAAAAAUUGGCAUCAGUUGAUGUGGAUCAAGUUGCUCGUAAUCUAGAUUUCAGAGCUCUGCAGGAAAAUAUUUCCAAUGUGACUUUUUGUAACAUAGAAAGUGAAGUGAUUCCUGGUUCUGUUGACCCCAAUUUUUUGAAAUUAUUCAAGCUGGCCCAGCUUAUGAUUGAAUACCUUUUGCAUUCUCAGGAAUAUUUAACUGAAGUACUUCAAGUUAUUGAAGAAAAACAUGAACAGACAAGUAAAGAAUUAUCUGAGCUUCAAGCACUUAGAGUUAAUGAUCAGAAGCAGUUGCAGGAACUUCGAAAAGAAAACAAGAAACGAAGGAAGAUGCUUCUCCAAAAUCAACAGAAUCUCCAAGCUGAAAUUGUACCAGGGUAUUUCAAAUGUGAGUUUUGCCCAAAGGUCUUUGUUUCUGCUGCCUACCUACAAAGUCAUCAUGGAAGACGUCAUGGGGAUAAGCUACAAACUGCACAAGCGGCUAUUGUAAAUGAUCCCAAGAUAGAAGAACUUGAAAAGGAGCUGAGUCAGAUUCAUAAUAGACUUAAAGAAACACAAGAGGAGUUAGAGAAGGAGAGAGCUUCUUUUGCCAACCUUUGUGCUAAGGCAGAACAAGAGACUGUUGCUAGAAAGGAAGAAGUUAAAAAAGAAAUUGAAUUUUGGAAGGAACAACAACAGGAAAUUCAGAAGAAAGAGUUGGAAAGUGUGAAAGAGAUGUUUUUGAAAGAAAUGCAAGAACUAAAUGAAAAGCAUCUGAUAUCAGAACAAGCUUUGAUGGAGUUGCGUGCUAAGUACAAUACUCUUACUCCUCCUUCUAACUUGGGUGUAUUGGUUGAUGCAGAAAACAUGAAAGUAAAUGAAGAAUUACACAAACAAAGAGAAGAGACAACUCUAUUGAAAGAGCAACUUCAAUUACAGCUAACUCAAGUUCAAAAACAUCUUGAAGAAACUAUAAAAGGUCAGGAGAAACAAUGGAGAGCAAAAUUAAGACAAGUUACACAGGAGCAUGCACUGGAACUUGAAAAACUCAACAAUGCUUUAGAACAAAGUGUAAAGCACUUGCAGAAAGAAAGACAACAGACAGGUAACCAAGAAGAACACCAUGAACGCCAGAUUCGGAAGUUGUUGGAAAGAUCCCGCAGACAGGAAAUGCGUUUGAAAAACCAGGAAAAGCAAAUACAUGAAUUGGCUACUAAACCUGCCUUAUCACAGUUUGUCUCUCCUAUAAAAAGUCCUCCAACUCCUCCUCCUAGAAAAGUGUCAUUGCCUAGAACUCCCCAAGUAUUGGAAAAAGAAAGGGAAAAUCAGUAUGGUUUUGUCAGAAGUGAAAGACUUUUUUAUGCUCUUCAAAAGAAUCCCAAUCUUUUAGAACAAUUGAAAUGUGAUUUAGAGGAGGAUGUAGAGGAAAUGCUGCAGAAACGAGGUGUCACAAAGAAUAUUACUUCCUUAUCAACACCUGUGUUGAAAAAGAAGUUAGCUUUACUAAAGAAGAAAAGGAAGGUUUUAGGAGAGAAAUAUGAUGACUUCUAUACUAUAAGAAACCACUAUAAGAGUACUGUGGAUGAAGCAGCAAGAAUUCGAGCCAAAGAAGCAUCCAAAAAUGCCAUUCCAAACAAAUCUCCUAAAAACCCAUUUAAAAAGAUGUUUGACACUGUGCUAUCCAAGGUUGAAAGCAGCAAAAAACCUGAACCAUCCCCUAAAUUGGCACCAAGAAGAGCUUAUAGAGACGUUGUUCAACAUAAGGCCAAUUCUGAAAGUUCCUUGGAAACAAGUGAGGAAUCUGAAGAGGAACUAGACAAGAGUUAUGAUAGCAGAGUAAAAGUAUCAGCACUCCAUCAAAGUCCUGAGAAAUGGAAUUUGACUAAAACUUCAUCUCCAAAAUCUGCUGAGAGGAUGUACAGUGAGAGUAGUGAAGAAGAAUUCUCUGACACUGUAAGGCCUGUUGUGAGAAGAGUUGAACCAAAUAUUGUCACGGUUCAUGAAGGUAGGGGUCAAAAAGUUGCAGAAAUAACUCAAGUUAUGGAGCAGAUGAUUUCAAAUCGUUCAAUAAAACCUCCUAGUGGUGCUGUAGAUGUGCUAAAACCAAAAACACAGCAUAAGAAUCCAAGUAUUGUUAUGCAAGAGUAAAGCACUAGCUAGUAAGGAAAUGGGAAGUCUGAAUAACACAGGUAGCAGUAGUUGCUGGGACUCAAGCUCAUCAAAGAAAGAUUUGUUACCUGGAAAGAAAGAACAGAACCCAGGGACAAGUUCUUCCACAGGGAAAGGU